RNAcentral lists this ribosomal RNA (253 nucleotides) under uncultured bacterium. RNAcentral describes it as "partial 16S ribosomal RNA". It matches the Rfam family "Bacterial small subunit ribosomal RNA", at positions 524 to 776 of the family's 1533-position model. The record is from RNAcentral.
UACGGAGGGUGCAAACGUUGCUCGGAAUCAUUGGGCGUAAAGCGCACGUAGGCGGCCUAGUAUGUCGGGUGUGAAAGCCCUCGGCUUAACCGGGGAAGUGCAUUCGAAACUGCUAGGCUUGAGUACUGAAGAGGAUCGCGGAAUUCCCGGUGUAGAGGUGAAAUUCGUAGAUAUCGGGAGGAACACCAGUGGCGAAGGCGGCGAUCUGGGCAGAUACUGACGCUGAGGUGCGAAAGCGUGGGGAGCAAACAGG